AUGGGUGCACCAACACGUACGUAUAUCAUCCAACCUCUCUUCAGGUCACGGCUCCUCUCAAUCGUGUGCCGCCCGGUCUCUUCUCGACCAAACACUAUGGAGCCGACGCGCCGCACCAAGCGCCCCGCCGGGGACGGCGACGACGAUGUGGAGGCGGCCGCCGAAGCACGACGCUACUACGGUGCCGCGCCCUACGACUUCCUCGACGAUGACGAUCUCGAUGGCGUCUCCUCGCAAGGCACCGGCGGCGACAUCGGGUUCCAGGACGAGAGCGACAGCUUCGGGGAGCACGCGGCGCGAGGAGGCACCAAGGAGGAGGCCUGGCUGGGCGCCACCGACGUCGACGGCGAGUCCCCCGGCCCCUCCGCCAUGACGAAGCGCGCGAGGAAGGCCCUGGAGAGGCAGGAGGAGGACGAGCGGAUCCUCGAGGGCGUCGUCGGCUCCCGCGCCGUCUUCGACAUCAAGAAGCGGAUCGCCGGCCUCCUCCAGCCCGGCGAGACGGCCCCGCGCGCGCUGCGGAGGCUCAAGGGAGAUAAACGUGGCGGGGGGAAGGGGAUGGACGAGGCGGCGCGGUGCGCGUUCGACGAGCUGAUGGACGCCUCCGCGGAGCUCGUGCGGCGCGGCGACCUCGACGCGUACACGGACGACCGCGAGGCCUUUGAGCGCGGCGCCUGGGACUACGAGCACGCGCGUUGCCGUCGCCGCCUGGCGCGUGAGGCUCCAGAAGACGACGAAGCUGACCAACAGACCGCCGCCGUGACCCGUGACAGUUACGUCGACAUGUUCGGAGACGACACUGUCGGCGCCGGCUCGAAGACCACGGCGGAAUUGUCAAGUGGACACGCAGCUAAUUCUGAACAGCCUGCAGCGCAGCUUGAUGCUUCGAGUGUGGCGGCGGCGGCGGAGGAAGCCGGCGGCGUCGUGGGCUGGGACUACGUGUACGAUCCGUCGUCGGGCUACUACUACAGCGGCAGCACAGGGUACUACUACUACGACGCCGCGUCCGGGUCCGCGUCCACUGGCACAUGA
Molecule: ribosomal RNA, 1029 nt
Filed under: Triticum aestivum (bread wheat)
Lineage: Eukaryota; Viridiplantae; Streptophyta; Magnoliopsida; Poales; Poaceae
Description: partial small subunit ribosomal RNA
Source: RNAcentral